RNAcentral lists this ribosomal RNA (556 nucleotides) under Moesziomyces aphidis. Its description in RNAcentral is "eukaryotic LSU rRNA". It matches the Rfam family "Eukaryotic large subunit ribosomal RNA", at positions 118 to 655 of the family's 3401-position model. The record is from RNAcentral. Lineage: Eukaryota; Fungi; Basidiomycota; Ustilaginomycetes; Ustilaginales; Ustilaginaceae.
AAAGCUGGCGUCUUCGGCGUCCGCAUUGUAAUCUCAAGAAGUGUUUUCCGCUUCGGACCAUGCCUAAGUCCCUUGGAAAAGGGCAUCAUAGAGGGUGAUAAUCCCGUACAUGGCAUGGAGCGCCCGAAGCUUUGUGAUACGCUUUCUAAGAGUCGAGUUGUUUGGGAAUGCAGCUCAAAAUGGGUGGUAAAUGCCAUCUAAGGCUAAAUAUUGGGGAGAGACCGAUAGCGAACAAGUACAGUGAUGGAAAGAUGAAAAGAACUUUGAAAAGAGAGUUAAACAGUACGUGAAAUUGCCAAAAGGGAAGGGUAGGAGGUCAGAGAUGCGGCCUGGGAUUCAGCCUUGCUUUUGCUUGGUGUUUUUCCCAGAUUGCAGGCCAACGUCGGUUUUGGGCACUGGAGAAGGGUAGGAGGAACGUGGCACCUCUCGGGGUGUGUUAUAGCCUCCUACUGGAUACAGCGACCGAGACCGAGGACAGCAGCGUACUCGCAAGAGCGGGCCUUCGGGCACCUUUACGCUUAGGGCGUUGGCAUAAUGGCCCUCUACCACCCGUCUG